RNAcentral lists this long non-coding RNA (944 nucleotides) under Struthio camelus australis. RNAcentral's name for it is "lncRNA (ENSSCUG00000000802.1)". Lineage: Eukaryota; Metazoa; Chordata; Aves; Struthioniformes; Struthionidae. The record is from RNAcentral.
CCCCGAGGCCGCUCGCCGCAGCUCAGCCUCCUUCCAGCCCUCUACGCCCUCUGCCCUUUCUCAGGCAUGGUCUACGUUGGGCUGGUGGCCUGAAUGCCUGUUUGUCAUUAGAGCACAGAAGAUGCACUCCUGAAUUACAUAUUCCAGCUGAGUUUAAUCUGAAAGGAAUCCCAUUUGUGCUUUCCACGACCACCCCAGGAUGUGAAUCAAGCAGAGACAAUUGCAAGAUGCACUUCAAAACGCACGCUCCUGAUCCAGGCUGAAGUACUAAGGUCAUUGAAGAGCCUGAUACUCCCUCCCUUUUUUACAAGAGCUAUCCUUUUAUUCUUGUGGCUUACAUUGUUUCAGAUCGGUCAUCAAUUCACAGGAGAAUCCUUCCACUUAGCCCAUCAGUUGUUUCUGUUGCAGCCUUGGAAAAAACUACUGAAAACUCAAGUAUGCUUGAUUCACGGGAUCAUCCUCUACCGUAUGUGUCAAAUCUCUUGAAAGGCCCGUGAGCGUGCUGAGUGCCAGAACGCUGGGCACCCACAGGCGCAAGUUGAGAACAUCUUCAGAACCAGUUCUAAUGGACCGUGACAGUAAAGCCCAGCUAUUCACAUACAAGCCCAGGACACUUAAGUUUAAUGGCUUGUUCCUAGGAAAGACGACGGUAUUUUCUCAGCGGAGAAUUUGAGACAAGCUUCUUGUACAAGGGAUCAGACUGAGACCUACGCACUAUGCGAGUCCCCAAAACAGAAGGUACAUGGCAAACAGACUUUGUGCUAAAUCUUCUGCUUGGAGAUAAUUGUACUAAAUUGUAACAAAACAGUUGUGUUAGUGAAUUGCAAGGCCCUGCUGGAAGAAACAAGUCAUGGUGUCCCUGGGGAGUACUUGGAAGCGCUAUGAGUAAAACUGUUGUCCAUGGCAGCUACUAAUAAACUGAAACGUCACUGUAAAAGGAAGCA